Molecule: long non-coding RNA, 1058 nt
Filed under: Manihot esculenta (cassava)
Lineage: Eukaryota; Viridiplantae; Streptophyta; Magnoliopsida; Malpighiales; Euphorbiaceae
Description: long non-coding RNA (MESC_LNC012652)
Source: RNAcentral
AGAUGACCAAUUGAGUAACCGGGGAUGGGUAUCACAAUUAUGCACAUUCACGUCAAAAGGUUGAUGACUUUUUCAAGCAAGAAUAAAAGUGCAUAAAAGUUGAAAAGAAAAAGUGUUAAAAAUAAAAGGGCAAGUCACUCCAAGAGCUAUAAUAGUCUAACUAAAAUAUGUGCAUGUAUAAAUAAAACUCUCACUUAAAGAAGACAACUCUCAACCAUGGUGGGUAAAAGGAAACAAGGAAAAGAAGAAAGUGAUCUUGGUGCAUGCACACUUCACUGCAAUGCUUCAAAUUAGGAGUCUAGGAUAAUAGCUUAAGUGGAAAAUAAGGAUCAAAUGGAAAAGGAAGCUUGUUUGACUAAGUUUAUUGCUUGAGGACAAGCAAGAAGUGAGGUGUGGGGGUAUUUGAUCGAAUGUAAAUUAGGCGCAUUUUUUCUAUUAUUAUUGAUUCUAAACUAUACAUUUUCUAUCUAAUUUUAUGCUUUUGAUCAUAUUUUGUAGAAAAUGAUGGAAAAUGGAAACUUGGUGAAAAAUGGCCUAAAAAUGUUGAAAAGUUGAUUUGGGCGAAGUGAUUUGGCCAAAUCAACCUCAAAGAAUGACCAAUGAGGCUACACAAGUGGAUGGAAGAAGAAGCCAAAACUCAAGUUUUGAUAUGCCAAAAUCGAUUUGCCCAAAUCACUGGCCAAAUUGCCACAAGCCAGUGAUAGCUAAAAUCCUGAAGUGUCUUGCAGAAAUAAUUGGGGCAAGUGAUUUGCCCAAAUCGACUUUCACCAGCAAAAAAGUGCAAAAAUACGGAAAUUGCAGAAAUUCGAAUUUUAAGAGUUCUACCCUAUCUCAAACACAUCAAGAUACAUCUGAAGCAUAUCAAACACUCUGCAAAAAGAAUUCCUUCACCCAAGAAAGUCUAUUUAUGAAGAAAUACUAGCAAGGAAAGAAUCAAAGACCAAGUCAAAAAGGAAUUCCAUCUCAUAAAGGACUGAUCUAGGGUUUUUCCAUCUAUAAAAAGGCAGCAACCAGUAGCAAACAUAAUCCAAUUUUUGGCAAAGCAUCCACAAUACCAC